Polypterus senegalus (gray bichir) is the source of this 148-nucleotide long non-coding RNA. RefSeq lists it as uncharacterized. The record is from RefSeq and is a predicted model, not a curated record. NCBI's taxonomy places the organism in Eukaryota, Metazoa, Chordata, Cladistia, Polypteriformes, Polypteridae. The transcript is spliced from 2 exons.
CUUGUGCGGCUCGCUCUCCGCAGACUCUCACUUUUGCAGUGCAAAGAGGUUGCUUCGUUUAGACUGUCCAAACUCUUCUGGGAUAAGAAGAAGCAAACCCGGAAUUGCUUUCUUCAUCCUAUUACUUUGGUCAAGUUAUAAGAACAUG